CACCAUUUCCCAGUACUGUACCAGACAGAAAUGUCAAAAAGAGCCUCUAAUUUGUCUGUGUACUAAACAUAAAAAGAAGAAAGCUUUUGCAACUGUGAGCAGUUCUGUCAAAAGACUGCUAUAUACAGCAACUGACAUUAAAGUAUCAUGAGGCGGCAGUGAAGAGCUCAAGCAUGUGCCCUGAAAUUUGGGAAAUUGGGAACUAAUGGCCCAUGAAGUAAAGUGUGGAGUGGACUGGUCAGUGGUGGUGAAUCUGGAGCAAUGAGAAUACCUGCCAAGGACCAAACGGGGUGGAAAAUGCAGGCUGAUGUGAAAUGACCCAGAAGAAUUCAUUGUAGGUCAAGAGAGUUCCUUGGGACUGAGAACCAUGACUUGGAAAAGCAGUGGGUGGAAUACGAUUGAACAAAGUCAAAUGGACCAGGAGACAACUAACUUCUAAUACAGAGAAGGAUUCCUAAUAACAUCGGACAUAUCUUUGACUUGAUUC
Molecule: long non-coding RNA, 487 nt
Organism: Mauremys reevesii (Reeves's turtle)
Lineage: Eukaryota; Metazoa; Chordata; Testudines; Geoemydidae
Exons: 3
Source: RefSeq, a predicted model, not a curated record